GGUCCCAUAGCUCAGUUGGUCAGAGCGUCGUACUAAUAGUAUGAUCACUUCAUAAUAUUAAGUAAUGCGAAGGCCGUGAGUUCAAGCCUCACUGGGACCA
RNAcentral lists this transfer RNA (100 nucleotides) under Xylaria scruposa. Its description in RNAcentral is "tRNA-Ile". It matches the Rfam family "tRNA". Rfam says of the family: Transfer RNA (tRNA) molecules are approximately 80 nucleotides in length. Their secondary structure includes four short double-helical elements and three loops (D, anti-codon, and T loops). The record is from RNAcentral. Lineage: Eukaryota; Fungi; Ascomycota; Sordariomycetes; Xylariales; Xylariaceae.